This 275-nucleotide unclassified non-coding RNA is filed under the name Hevea brasiliensis (rubber tree). The record is from RNAcentral. Lineage: Eukaryota; Viridiplantae; Streptophyta; Magnoliopsida; Malpighiales; Euphorbiaceae.
GUACCAGAAAAAGAUGUAAUUGAGUUAAAAAUAUGAACUCUCACAGCCCAAACUUGAAGAGGACGGUGAGACCUAAAACAACAAACCAAAUGCGUCUAAGCUGCUCCAAAAAACUGCUCCAAAGACGUUGAACUGAAGACAUUUAUAGCUGUUCUUUCUGACUUGGUAGGCGUAACGUGUAGCUCAUAUUUGAUAAAUCUCGCUAAUUGGAAAACAAUUUCUGGAUUUGUAUCAAUGUGCCAAUCAGGUUCCAGUUGUCGCACAAAUGAUGUUCG